RNAcentral lists this unclassified non-coding RNA (1154 nucleotides) under Hevea brasiliensis (rubber tree). The record is from RNAcentral. Lineage: Eukaryota; Viridiplantae; Streptophyta; Magnoliopsida; Malpighiales; Euphorbiaceae.
UUCUCCUCUUUGCUAUAAAUAUAUAUUCUCUUUGUCUUCUUCUUCCCGUUCGGUUCACUUAGAUCAAAAAAUCAAGUUUCUUGCAAUUUUUUUUUGCUCUAUUACUUGCCUCUUUACUUGAUUACAGAAUUUUCCAGGUAUUUUAAUGGCCCAGGAUACUCUUUCCAAUGCCGAUUCACCGCGAAGAAGGUCUGGUCUAUUAAGAGAUCAAGUUCAACUGGUAAAAAGAAGUACUUCUGCUCGUUAUGAGAUAGCCCCAAUUCAAGAUCAGCUAUCAUUUGAGAAGGGUUUCUUUAUAGUACUCCGUGCAUGCCAGUUGUUGGUUCAGAAGAAUGAAGGAAUUGUUCUGGUGGGUGUCGCUGGUCCUUCAGGGGCCGGGAAGUCCGUGUUCACAGAGAAGAUCCUGAAUGUUAUGCCUAGUAUUGCUAUCAUAAACAUGGACAACUACAAUGAGCCCAGUCGUAUCGUUGAUGGAAAUUUCGACGAUCCGCGAUUGACGGACUAUGAGACUCUGCUCGAGAAUAUACAUGGGCUGAAAGCGGGGAAGCCUGUUCAAGUUCCUAUAUAUGAUUUUAAAUCUAGCUCUCGUGUGGGUUAUAGGACCCUUGAAGCUCCAAGCUCUCGAAUUGUUAUAAUUGAAGGGAUAUAUGCUUUGAGUGAAAAGUUGAGGCCAUUGCUAGAUCUCCGUGUAUCUGUCACUGGUGGAGUGCACUUUGACUUAGUGAAACGGGUUCUUAGGGACAUCCACCGUGCUGGACAAGAGCCCGAGGAGAUAAUCCAACAAAUCUCAGAAACGGUGUAUCCUAUGUACAAAGCCUUUAUUGAGCCCGAUCUGAAGACGGCUCAAAUCAAAAUUAUUAAUAAGUUUAACCCAUUCGCUGGAUUUCAGAACCCCACAUAUGUACUAAAGUCAGCAAAAGCUGUGGAUGUAGACCAGAUCAAGGCUGUGUUUCCAGACGAAUACAAGGAAAUUACAGAGGAAACUUAUGAUAUUUAUCUCCUACCUCCCAGUGAAGAUCCCGAAGCUUGCCAAUCAUAUUUGAGGAUGAGGAACAAGGAUGGAAAAUACACUCUUAUGUUUGAGGAAUGGGUUACAGAUAGUCCCUUUAUAAUAUCACCAAGAAUCACCUUUGAGGUCAGUGUACGGCUUCUUG